CGGGAACUCUGAGACAGGUGCUGCAUGGCUGUCGUCAGCUCGUGUUGUGAAAUGUUGGGUUAAGUCCCGCAACGAGCGCAACCCUUAUCCUUUGUUGCCAGCGCGUGAUGGCGGGAACUCAAAGGAGACUGCCGGUGAUAAACCGGAGGAAGGUGGGGAUGACGUCAAGUCAUCAUGGCCCUUACGAGUAGGGCUACACACGUGCUACAAUGGCGUAUACAAAGGGAAGCGACCCUGCGAAGGCAAGCGGAACUCAUAAAGUACGUCGUAGUCCGGAUUGGAGUCUGCAACUCGACUCCAUGAAGUCGGAAUCGCUAGUAAUCGUAGAUCAGAAUGCUACGGUGAAUACGUUCCCGGGCCUUGUACACACCGCCCGUCACACCAUGGGAGUGGGUUGCAAAAGAAGUAGGUAGCUUAACCUUCGGGAGGGCGCUUACCACUUUGUGAUUCAUGACUGGGGUGAAGUCGUAACAAGGUAACCGUAGGGGAACCUGC
This 495-nucleotide ribosomal RNA is filed under the name Morganella morganii. RNAcentral describes it as "bacterial SSU rRNA". It matches the Rfam family "Bacterial small subunit ribosomal RNA", at positions 1021 to 1515 of the family's 1533-position model. Lineage: Bacteria; Pseudomonadati; Pseudomonadota; Gammaproteobacteria; Enterobacterales; Morganellaceae. The record is from RNAcentral.